Molecule: ribosomal RNA, 493 nt
Filed under: uncultured bacterium
Lineage: Bacteria
Description: bacterial SSU rRNA
Rfam family: Bacterial small subunit ribosomal RNA
Source: RNAcentral
CGCGCCUAACACAUGCAAGUCGCACGAGAAACGGAGCAAUCCGCGGUACAGUGGCGCACGGGUGAGUAACACGUGGAUGACCUUCCCUGGAGUGGUGGAUAACCUGCCGAAAGGCGGGCUAAUACAGCAUGGGACCACGACGCUUUGGCGAUGUGGUGAAAGCGGGCCUCUAUAUAUAAGCUCGCGCUCCGGGACGGGUCCGCGUCCCAUCAGCUAGUUGGUGAGGUAACGGCUCACCAAGGCAACGACGGGUAGCUGGUCUGAGAGGAUGGCCAGCCACACUGGAACUGAGACACGGUCCAGACUCCUACGGGAGGCAGCAGUGGGGAAUCUUGCGCAAUGGGCGAAAGCCUGACGCAGCGACGCCGCGUGGGCGAAGAAGGCCUUCGGGUUGUAAAGCCCUGUGGGGGAGAACGAACCGUACGGGGGCGAACACCCUCCGUGCCUGACGGUACUCCUUUUAGCAAGCAUCGGCUAACUCUGUGCCAGCAGC